This 254-nucleotide ribosomal RNA is filed under the name uncultured bacterium. Its description in RNAcentral is "partial 16S ribosomal RNA". It matches the Rfam family "Bacterial small subunit ribosomal RNA", at positions 524 to 776 of the family's 1533-position model. The record is from RNAcentral.
CACGUAGGGGCCAAGCGUUGUCCGGAUUUAUUGGGCGUAAAGAGCUCGUAGGCGGUUCAGCAAGUCGGGUGUGAAAACUCUGGGCUCAACCCAGAGACGCCACCCGAUACUGCUGUGACUAGAGUCCGGUAGGGGAGUGGGGAAUUCCUGGUGUAGCGGUGAAAUGCACAGAUAUCAGGAGGAACACCGGUGGCGAAGGCGACUACCUGGCCUGUUCUUGACGCUGAGGCGCGAAAGCUAGGGGAGCAAACGGG